This 421-nucleotide ribosomal RNA is filed under the name uncultured Lactobacillus sp. RNAcentral describes it as "bacterial SSU rRNA". It matches the Rfam family "Bacterial small subunit ribosomal RNA", at positions 356 to 794 of the family's 1533-position model. Lineage: Bacteria; Bacillati; Bacillota; Bacilli; Lactobacillales; Lactobacillaceae. The record is from RNAcentral.
UGGGGAUAUUGCACAAUGGGCGAAAGCCUGAUGCAGCGACGCCGCGUGAGGGAAGACGGUUUUCGGAUUGUAAACCUCUGUCUUCGGGGACGAAAAUGACGGUACCCGAGGAGGAAGCCACGGCUAACUACGUGCCAGCAGCCGCGGUAAUACGUAGGUGGCAAGCGUUGUCCGGAUUUAUUGGGCGUAAAGCGAGUGCAGGCGGUUCAAUAAGUCUGAUGUGAAAGCCUUCGGCUCAACCGGAGAAUUGCAUCAGAAACUGUUGAACUUGAGUGCAGAAGAGGAGAGUGGAACUCCAUGUGUAGCGGUGGAAUGCGUAGAUAUAUGGAAGAACACCAGUGGCGAAGGCGGCUCUCUGGUCUGCAACUGACGCUGAGGCUCGAAAGCAUGGGUAGCGAACAGGAUUAGAUACCCUGGUAGU